CGGUAACUGCCAUUAGAGGGGGAUAACUAUUGGAACGAUAGCUAAUACCGCAUAACAGUAUGUAACACAUGUUAGAUGCUUGAAAGAUGCAAUUGCAUCGCUAGUAGAUGGACCUGCGUUGUAUUAGCUAGUAGGUAGGGUAAUGGCCUACCUAGGCGACGAUACAUAGCCGACCUGAGAGGGUGAUCGGCCACACUGGGACUGAGACACGGCCCAG
Molecule: ribosomal RNA, 217 nt
Filed under: uncultured bacterium
Lineage: Bacteria
Description: partial 16S ribosomal RNA
Rfam family: Bacterial small subunit ribosomal RNA
Source: RNAcentral